Long non-coding RNA from Balaenoptera acutorostrata (minke whale), 7580 nucleotides. RefSeq lists it as uncharacterized. Lineage: Eukaryota; Metazoa; Chordata; Mammalia; Artiodactyla; Balaenopteridae. The record is from RefSeq and is a predicted model, not a curated record. The transcript is spliced from 5 exons.
CCGGAGUGCGUCCCGCCGGGCCCUUGGCGGUGCCCCUGGAGCGCUCCAGGUCGGCGUUCAGGUGCCGGAGACCGAGCGGUGGCGUCGUCUCCUGUUCCCUGUGAGCCCCUCGGGUCCCCACUGCGGCGGUGCUUACGGUAAACCACUGAAGUGAUAAGGAGUAACAGACUCUACCAGCCAGGAAAUGCCUCCAGGGGACAUUUUCUAACAACAACAGACUGAGCAAAAAGGGAGAGAAGCAAAAAGAAGGACCUGGAAUGAAGUGGCCCCUUGGAGCUGACUCCCAUCUUCCCCAUCACUCCCAGCCCUUGUUGAGGAGCCUCUGGCACCACUGAGCCUACAUAUCAAAGGCAGGUCUUUGCGUCCCUAAUCUGUACCUGAAGCUCACUUCUGUUCCUGAGAGGGAAAGCAAAGCCUGUUCAGGAGCACAGGAGCCAUCAUUUCUGGCUGAAUUAGGACCUCAAGGGGGAGCCUCGGAAAAGCCAGCACACAUGCUAAAUUGUAUUGAGAUUACAGAAGACAAAAAGCAGUUACUAUUUUUCAGUCUGAACCAAUGGAACACAAAAUUAUGAUGAAAGGAGGAGCUUCAAGAUGGCAGGAGAGUAAGACGUGGAGAUCACCUUCCUCCCCACAAAUACAUCAGAAAUACAUCUACAUGUGGAACAACUCCUACAGAACACCUACUGAACGCUGGCAGGAGACCUCAGACCUCCCAAAAGGCAAGAAACUCCCCACGUACCUGGGUAGGGCAAAAGAAAAAAGAAAAAACAGAAACAAAAGAAUAGGGAUGGGACCUGCACCAGUGGGAGGGAGCUGUGAAGGAGGAAAGGUUUCCACACACUAGGAAGCCCCUUCAUGGGCGGAGACUGUGGGUGGUGGGGGGAAGCUUCAGAGCCUCGGAGGAGAGCGCAUCAACGGGUGCAGAGGGCAAAGCGGAGAGAUUCCUGCACAGAGGACUGGUGCCGAGCAGCACUCACCAGCCCGAGAGGCUUGUCUGCUCACACGCCAGGGCGGGCGGGGGCUGGGAGCUGAGGCUCGGGCUUCGGAGGUCGGAUCACAGGGAGAGGACUGGGGUUGGCGGCGUGAACACAGCCUGAAGGGGGCUAGUGCGCCACAGCUAGCCAGGAGGGAGUCCGGGAAAAGAUCUGGAGCUGCCGAAGAGGCAAGAGACUUUUUCUUGCCUCUUUGUUUCCUGGUGCGCGAGGAGAGGGGAUUCAGAGAACCGCUUAAAGGAGCUCCAGAGACGGGCGCGAGCUGCGACUAUCAGCGUGGACCCCAGAGACGGGCAUGAGAUGCUAAGGCUGCUGCUGCCGCCACCAAGAAGCCUGUGUGCGAGCACAGGUCACUCUCCACACCUCCCCUCCCAGGAGCCUGUGCAGCCCGCCACUGCCAGGAUUCCGUGAUCCAGGGACAACUUCCCCGGGAGAACGCACGGUGCGCCUCAGGCUGGUGCAACGUCACGCCGGCCUCUGCCGCCGCAGGCUUGCCCCGCAUCCGUACCCCUCCCUCCCCCCCGGCCUGAGUGAGCCAGAGCCCCCGAAUCAGAUGCUCCUUUAACCCCGUCCUGUCUGGAAGGGCAACAGAUGCCCUCAGAUGACCUACACGCAGAGGCAGGUCCAAAUCCAAAGCUGAACCCCAGGAGCUGUGCAAACAAAGAAGAGAAAGGGGAAUCUCUACCAGCAGCCUCAGGAGCAGCGGAUUAAAUCUCCACAAUCAACUUGAUGUACCCUGUAACUGUGGAAUACCUGAAUAGAAAACAAAUCAUCCCAAAUUGAGGAGGUGGACUUUGGGAGCAACGAUAUACUUUUUUUUUCCCCCUUUUUCUCUUUUUGUGAGUGUGUAUGUGUAUGCUUCUGUGUGUGAUUUUGUAUAGCUUUGCUUUUACCAUUUGUCCUAGGGUUCAGUCUCUCCAUCUUUUUUUUUUUAUAGUAUAGUUUUUAGCACUUGUUAUCACUGGUGGAUUUGUGUUUUGGUUUGGUUGCUCUCUUCUUUCUUUUUAUUACUUUAAAAAAUAUAUUUUUUAAUUAUUAUUUUUGUCUUAUUUUAAUAACUUUUUAAUUUUGUUUUAUUUUAUCUUCUUCUUUCUUUCUUUCUUUCUUUCUUUUUCUCCCUUUUAUUCUGAGCUGUGUGGAUGACAGGCUCUUGGUGCUCCAGCCAGGCAUCAGGGCUGUGCCUCUGAGGUGAGAGAGCCAGCUUCAGGACAUUGGUCCACAAGAGACCUCCCAGCUCCACAUAAUAUCAAACGACAAAAAUCUCCCAGACAUCUCCAUCUCAACGCAAGACCCAGCUUCACUCAACGACCAGCAAGCUACAGUGCUGGAUACCCUAUGCCAAACAACUAGCAAGACAGGAACACAACCCCACCCAUUAGCAGAGAGGCUGCCUAAAAUCAUAAUAAGGUUACAGACACCCCAAAACACACCACCAGACGUGGUCCUUCCCACCAGAAAGACAAGAUCCAGGCUCAUCCACCAGAACACAGGCACUAGUCCCCUCCACCAGGAAGCCUACACAACCCACUGAACCAACCUUAGCCACUGGGGGCAGACACCAAAAACAACGGGAACUACGAACCUGCAGCCUGCGAAAAGGAGACCCCAAACACAGUAAGUUAAGCAAAAUGAGAAGAAAGAGAAACACACAGCAGACGAAGGAGCAAGGUAAAAACCCAUCAGACCUAACAAAUGAAGAGGAAAUAGGCAGUCUACCUGAAACAGAAUUCAGAAUAAUGAUAGUAAAGAUAAUCCAAAAUCUUGGAAAUAGAAUGGAGAAAAUAUAAGAAAUGUUUAACAAUGACCUAGAAGAACUAAAGAGCAAACAAACAGUGAUGAACAACACAGUAAAUGAAAAUAAAAUUCUCUAGAAGGGAUCAAUAGCAGAAUAACUGAGGCAGAAAAAUGGAUAAGUGACCUGGAAGAUAAAAUAGUGGAAAUAACUCCUGCAGAGCAGAAUAAAGAAAAAAGAAUGAAAAGAAUUGAAGACAGUCUCAGAGACCUCUGGGAAAACAUUAAAUGCACCAACAUUCAAAUUAUAGGGGUCCCAGAAGAAGAAGAGAAAAAGAAAGGGACUGAGAAAAAAUUUGAAGAGAUUAUAGUUGAAAACUUCCCUAAUACGGGAAAGUUAAUAUUUAAUCAAGUCCAGGAAGCACAGAGACUCCCAUACAGGGUAAAUCCAAGGAGAAACACACCAAGACACAUAUUAAUCAAACUAUCAAAAAUUAAAUACAAAGAAAAAAUAUUAAAAGCAGCAAGGGAAAAACAACAAAUAACAUACAAGGAAAUCCCCAUAAGCUUAACAGCUGAUCUUUCAGCAGAAACUCUGCAAGCCAGAAGGGACUGGCAGGAGAUAUUUUAAGUGAUGAAGGGGAAAAACCUACAACCAAGAUUACUCUACCCAGCAAGGAUCUCAUUCAGAUUUGACAGAGAAAUUAAAACCUUUACAGACAAACAAAAGCUAAGGGAAUUCAGCACCACCGAACCAGCUUUACAACAAAUGCUAAAGGAACUUCUCUAGGCAGGAAACACAAGAGAAGGAAAAGACCUACAAUAACAAACCCAAAACAAUUAAGAAAAUGGGAAUACAUAUUGAUAACGACCUUAAAUGUAAAUGCAUUAAAUGCUCCAACCAAAAGACAUAGACUGGCUGAAUGGAUACAAAAACAAGACCCGUAUACAUGUUGUCUACAAGAGACCCACUUCAGACCUAGGGACACAUAAGACUGAAAGUGAGGGGAUGGAAAAAGAUAUUCCAUGCAAAUGGAAAUAGAAAGCUGGAAAAGCAAUUCUCAUAUCAGACACAAUAUACUUUAAAACAACGACUAUUACAAGAGACAAAGAAGGACACUACAUGAUGAUGAAGGGAUCAAUCCAAGAAGAAGAUAUAACAAUUGUAAAUAUUUAUGCACCCAACAUAGGAGCACCUCAAUACAUAAGGCAAAUACUAACAGCCAUAAAAGGGGAAAUCAACAGUAACACAAUCAUAAUAGGGGGCUUUAACACACCGCUUUCACCAAUGGACAGAUCAUCCAAAAUGAAAAUAAAUAAGGAAACACAAGCUUUAAAUGAAACAUUAAACAAGAUGGACUUAAUUGAUAUUUAUAGGACAUUCCAUCCAAAAACAACAGAAUACACUUUCUUCUCAAGUGCUCAUGGAACAUUCUGCAGGAUAGAUCAUAUCUUACGUCACAAAUCAAGCCUUGGUAAAUUUAAGAAAAUUGAAAUCGUAUCAAGUAUCUUUUCCAACCACAACGCUAUGUGACUAGAUAUGAAUUAGAGGAAAAAAUCUGUAAAAAAUACAAACACAUGGAAGCUAAACAAUACACUACUUAAUAACCAAGAGAUAACUGAAGAAAUCAAAGAGGAAAUAAAAAAAUACCUAGAAACAAAUGACAAUGAAAACACGACGACCCAAAACCUAUGGGAUGCAGCAAAAGCAGUUCUAAGAGGGAAGUUUAUAGCAAUACAAGCCUAGCUUAAGAAAGAAGAAACAUCUCAAAUAAACAACCUAACUGUACACCUAAAGCAAUUAGAGAAAGAAAAACAAAAACACCCCAAAGUUAGCAGAAGGAAAGAAAUCAUAAAGAUCUGAUCAGAAAUAAAUGAAAAACAAAUGAAGGAAACGAUAGCAAAGAUCAAUAAAACUAAAAGCUGGUUCUUUGAGAAGAUAAACAAAAUUGAUAAACCAUUAGCCAGACUCAUCAAGAAAAAAAGGGAGAAGACUCGAAUCAAUAGAAUUAGAAAUGAAAAAGGAGAAGUAACAACUGACACUGCAGAAAUACAAAGGAUUAUGAGAGAUUACUACAAGCAACUCUAUGCCAAUAAAAUGGACAACCUGGAAAAAAUGGACAAAGUCUUAGAAAUGCACAACUUCCGAGACUGAACCAGGCAGAAAUAGAAAAUAUGAAGAGACCAAUCACAAGCACUGAAAUUAAAAAUGUGAUUAAAAAUCUUCCAAGAAACAAAAGCCCAGGACCAGAUGGCUUCACAGGCAAACUCUAUCAAACAUUUAGAGAAGAGUUAACACCUAUCCUUCUCAAACUCUUCCAAAAUAUAGCAGAGGGAUGAACACUCCCAAACUCAUUCUACGAGGCCACCAUCACCCUGAUACCAAAACCAGACAAAGAUGUCACAAAGAAAGAAAACUACAGGCCAAUAUCACUGAUGAACAUAGAUGCAAAAAUCCUCAACAAAAUACUAGCAAACAGACUCCAACAGCACAUUAAAAGGAUCAUACACCAUGAUCAGAUGGGGUUUAUUCCAGGAAUGCAAGGAUUCUUCAAUAUACGCAAGUCAAUCAAUGUGAUACACCAUAUUAACAAACUGAGGAGAAAAACCAUAUGACCAUCUCAAUAGAUGCAGAGAAAGCUUUCGACAAAAUUCAACACCCAUUUAUGAUAAAAACCCUCCAGAAAGCAGGCAUAGAGGGAACUUACCUCAACAUAAUAAAGGCCAUAUAUGACAAACCCACAGCCAACAUCGUUCUCAAUCGUGAAGAACUGAAACCAUUUCCUCUAAGAUCAGGAACAAGACAAGGUUGCCCCCUCUCACUGCUAUUAUUCAACAUAGUUUUGGAAGUGUUAGCCACAGCAAUCAGAGAAGAAAAAGAAAUAAAAGGAAUCCAAAUCGGAAAAGAAGAAGUAAAGCUGUCACUGUUUGCAGAUGACAUGAUACUAUACAUAGAGAAUCCUAAAGAUGCUACCAGAAAACUCCUAGAGCUAAUCAAUGAAUUUGGUAAAGUAGCAGGAUACAAAAUUAAUGCACAGAAAUCUCUUGCAUUCCUAUACACUAAUGAUGAAAAGUCUGAAAGUGAAAUUAAGAAAACACUCCCAUUUACCAUUGCAAUGAAAAGAAUAAAAUAUCUAGGAAUAAACCUACCUAAGGAGACAAAAGACCUGUAUGCAGAAAACUAUAAGACACUGAUGAAAGAAAUUAAAGAUGAUACAAAUAGAUGGAGAGAUAUACCAUGUUCUUGGAUUGGAAGAAUCAACAUUGUGAAAAUGACUAUACUACCCAAAGCAAUCUACAGAUUCAAUGCAAUCCCUAUCAAACUACCAAUGGCAUUUUUCACAGAACUAGAACAAAAAAUUUCACAAUUUGUAUGGAAACACAAAAGACCCCGAAUAGCCAAAGCAAUCUUGAGAAAGAAAAAUGGAGCUGGAGGAAUCAGGCUCCUGGACUUCAGCCUAUACUACAAAGCUACAGUAAUCAAGACAGUAUGGUACUGACACAAAAACAGAAAUAUAGAUCAAUGGAACAGGAGAGAAAGCCCAGAGAUAAACCCACGCACAUAUGGUCACCUUAUCCUUGAUAAAGGAGGCAAUAAUAUACAAUGGAGAAAAGACAGCCUCUUCAACAAGUGGUGCUGGGAAAACUGGACAGCUACAAGUAAAAGAAUGAAAUUAGAACACUCCCUAACACCAUACACAAAAAUAAACUCAAAAUGGAUUAAAUGGAUUAAAUGUAAGGCCAGACACUAUCAAACUCUUAGAGGAAAACAUAGGCAGAACACUCUAUGACAUAAAUCACAGCAAGAUCCUUUUUGACCCACCUCCUGAGAAAUGGAAAUGAAAACAAACAAAUGGGACCUAAUGAAACUUAAAAGCUUUUGCAUAGCAAAGGAAGUCAUAAACAAGACGAAAAGACAACCCUCAGAAUGGGAGAAAAUAUUUGCAAAUGGAGCAACUGACAAAGGAUUAAUCUCCAAAAUUUACAAGCAGCUCAUGCAGCUCAAUAUCAAAAAAAUAAACAACCCAAUCCAAAAAUGGGCAUAAGACCUAAAUACUUUUCUCCAAAGAUGAUAUACAGAUUGCCAACAAACACAUGAAAGAAUGCUCAACAUCAUUAAUCAUUAGAGAAUUGCAAAUCAAAACUACAAUGAGAUAUCAUCUCACACCAGUCAGAAUCACCAUCAUCAAAAAAUCUACAAACAAUAAAUGCUGGAGAGGGUGUGGAGAAAAGGGAACCCUGUUGCACUGUUGGUGGGAAUGUAAAUUGAUACAGCCACUAUGGAGAACAGUAUGGAGGUUCCUUAAAAAACUACAAAUAGAACUACCAUACGACCCAGCAAUCCCACUACUGGGCAUAUACCCUGAGAAAACCAUAAUUCAAAAAGAGUCAUGUACCACAAUAUUCAUUGCAGCUCUAUUUACAAUAGCCAGGACAUGGAAGCAACCUAAGUGUCCAUCAUCGGAUGAAUGGAUAAAUAAGAUGUGGCACAUAUAUACAAUGGAAUAUUAUUCAGCCAUAAAAAGAAACGAAAUUGAGUUAUGUGUAGUGAGGUGGAUGGACCUAGAGUCUGUCAUAUGGAGUGAAGUAAGUUAGAAAGAGAAAAACAAAUACCAUAUGCUAACACAUAUAUAUGGAAUCUAAAAAAAAAAGAAAAAUUGUCAUGAAGGACCUAGGGGCAAGACGGAAAUAAAGACGCAGACCUACUGGAGAAUGGACUUGAGGAUACGGGGAGGGGGAAGGGUAAGCUGGGACGAAGUGAGAGAGUGGCAUGGACAUAUACACACUACCAAAUGUAAAAUAGAUAGCUAGUGGGAAGCAGCCUCAUAGCACAGGGAGAUCAGCUUGGCGCUUUGU